This 253-nucleotide ribosomal RNA is filed under the name uncultured bacterium. RNAcentral describes it as "partial 16S ribosomal RNA". It matches the Rfam family "Bacterial small subunit ribosomal RNA", at positions 524 to 776 of the family's 1533-position model. The record is from RNAcentral.
UACGGAGGGUGCGAGCGUUGUCCGGAAUCACUGGGCGUAAAGGGCGCGUAGGCGGCCUGAUGAGUAGGGGGUGAAAUCCUGCGGCUUAACCGCAGGGCUGCCUUCUAAACUGUCAGGCUUGAGCACGGUAGAGGCAGGUGGAAUUCCCGGUGUAGCGGUGGAAUGCGUAGAGAUCGGGAAGAACAUCAGUGGCGAAGGCGGCCUGCUGGGCUGUUGCUGACGCUGAGGCGCGACAGCGUGGGGAGCAAACAGG